GUCGUAUCGAUUCGAUCGGGAUAGUCAUCAAAUAAAACAGAAAACCCGAGACCGCUUCCUUCAAGUCAAUGGCGGGCCACAUAAAUCGCAUCUCCGCGACUAAGCCGCAAGGCCGGUGGAUUACAAACGACAAGGAGCACUCAUAUCGUUUAUACUCGGACUUUUCAUCACAUCGUCGGUACGACUUCUU
This 190-nucleotide small RNA is filed under the name uncultured Prevotella sp. RNAcentral's name for it is "Bacteroidales-1 6S-Bacteroidales RNA suggested". It matches the Rfam family "Bacteroidales-1 6S-Bacteroidales RNA suggested". The record is from RNAcentral. Lineage: Bacteria; Pseudomonadati; Bacteroidota; Bacteroidia; Bacteroidales; Prevotellaceae.